UAGAGUUUGAUCCUGGCUCAGAUUGAACGCUGGCGGCAUGCUUUACACAUGCAAGUCGAACGGCAGCGCGGGGCAGCCUGGCGGCGAGAGGCGAACGGGUGAGUAAUAUAUCGGAACGUACCCAGAAGUGGGGGAUAACGUAGCGAAAGUUACGCUAAUACCGCAUACGAUCUACGGAUGAAAGUGGGGGACCUUCGGGCCUCAUGCUUUUGGAGCGGCCGAUAUCUGAUUAGCUAGUUGGUGAGGUAAAGGCUCACCAAGGCGACGAUCAGUAGCUGGUCUGAGAGGACGACCAGCCACACUGGGACUGAGACACGGCCCAGACUCCUACGGGAGGCAGCAGUGGGGAAUUUUGGACAAUGGGCGCAAGCCUGAUCCAGCAAUGCCGCGUGAGUGAAGAAGGCCUUCGGGUUGUAAAGCUCUUUUGUCAGGGAAGAAACGGCUCAGGCUAAUAUCCUGGGCUAAUGACGGUACCUGAAGAAUAAGCACCGGCUAACUACGUGCCAGCAGCCGCGGUAAUACGUAGGGUGCAAGCGUUAAUCGGAAUUACUGGGCGUAAAGCGUGCGCAGGCGGUUUUGUAAGUCUGUCGUGAAAGCCCCGGGCUUAACCUGGGAAUUGCGAUGGAGACUGCAGGGCUUGAAUCUGGCAGAGGGGGGUAGAAUUCCACGUGUAGCAGUGAAAUGCGUAGAGAUGUGGAGGAACACCGAUGGCGAAGGCAGCCCCCUGGGUCAAGAUUGACG
Molecule: ribosomal RNA, 741 nt
Filed under: bacterium enrichment culture clone ADE_65
Lineage: Bacteria
Description: bacterial SSU rRNA
Rfam family: Bacterial small subunit ribosomal RNA
Source: RNAcentral